AACGCGAAGAACCUUACCUGGCCUUGACAUGCUGGUAGUAGAAGCCUGAAAGGGUGACGAUCCCGAGCAAUCGGGAAGCCAGCACAGGUGCUGCAUGGUUGUCGUCAGCUCGUGUCGUGAGAUGUUGGCUUAAGUGCCGCAACGAGCGCAACCCCUGUGUUUAGUUGCCUGCGCAAGUGGGAUCUCUAAACAGACUGCCUCGCUUUAAACGAGGAGGAAGGUGGGGAUGACGUCAAAUCAGUAUGGCCCUUACGGCCAGGGCUGCACACGUGCUACAAUGCAUGGUACAGAGGGACGCAAGACCGCGAGGUGGAGCAAAUCCCAGAAAACCAUGCCCAGUUCAGAUUGAAGGCUGCAACUCGCCUUCAUGAAGCCGGAAUCGCUAGUAAUGGCGCAUCAGCUACGGCGCCGUGAAUACGUUCCCGGGCCUUGUA
Molecule: ribosomal RNA, 434 nt
Filed under: uncultured Verrucomicrobiota bacterium
Lineage: Bacteria; Pseudomonadati; Verrucomicrobiota
Description: bacterial SSU rRNA
Rfam family: Bacterial small subunit ribosomal RNA
Source: RNAcentral